Molecule: ribosomal RNA, 492 nt
Filed under: uncultured bacterium
Lineage: Bacteria
Description: partial 16S ribosomal RNA
Rfam family: Bacterial small subunit ribosomal RNA
Source: RNAcentral
AGUGAACGCUGGCGGUAGGCCUAACACAUGCAAGUCGAACGGCAGCACAGUAAGAGCUUGCUCUUACGGGUGGCGCGUGGCGGAAGGGUGAGGUAUACAUCGGAAUCUACUUUUUCGUGGGGGAUAACGUAGGGAAACUUACGCUAAUACCGCAUACGACCUACGGGUGAAAGCAGGGGAUCUUCGGACUUUGCGCGAUUGAAUGAGCCGAUGUCGGAUGAGCUAGGUGGCGGGGUAAAGGCCAACCAAGGCGACUAUCCGUAGCUGGUCUGAGAGCAUGUUCAGCCACACUGGAACUGAGACACGGUCCAGACUCCUACAGGAGGAAGCAGUGGAGAAUAUUGGACAAGGGGGGCAAGCCUGAUACAGCAAUACCGCGUGGGUGAUGAAGGCCUUCGGGUUGUUAAGCCCUUUUGUUGGGAAAGAAGAGCAGCAGGUUAAUACCCCGCUAUUCUGACGGUACCCAAAGAAUAAGCACCGGCUAACUUCGUG